RNAcentral lists this ribosomal RNA (460 nucleotides) under uncultured bacterium. RNAcentral describes it as "partial 16S ribosomal RNA". It matches the Rfam family "Bacterial small subunit ribosomal RNA", at positions 338 to 795 of the family's 1533-position model. The record is from RNAcentral.
CCUACGGGAGGCAGCAGUGAGGAAUAUUGGUCAAUGGACGAGAGUCUGAACCAGCCAAGUAGCGUGAAGGAUGACGGCCCUAUGGGUUGUAAACUUCUUUUAUAUGGGAAUAAACUGUUCCACGUGUGGGGUUUUGUAUGUACCAUAUGAAUAAGGAUCGGCUAACUCCGUGCCAGCAGCCGCGGUAAUACGGAGGAUCCGAGCGUUAUCCGGAUUUAUUGGGUUUAAAGGGUGCGUAGGUGGAUUGUUAAGUUAGAUGUGAAAGUUUGCGGCUUAACCGUAAAAUUGCAGUUGAAACUGGCAGUCUUGAGUACAGUAGAGGUGGGCGGAAUUAGUGGUGUAGCGGUGAAAUGCUUAGAUAUCACGAAGAACUCCGAUUGCGAAGGCAGCUCACUGGACUGCAACUGACACUGAGGCUCGAAAGUGUGGGUAUCAAACAGGAUUAGAUACCCGAGUAGUC